UACGGAGGGAGCUAGCGUUGUUCGGAAUUACUGGGCGUAAAGCGCACGUAGGCGGCUAUUUAAGUCAGGGGUGAAAUCCCGGGGCUCAACCUCGGAACUGCCCUUGAAACUGGAUAGCUUGAAUCUUGGAGAGGCGAGUGGAAUUCCGAGUGUAGAGGUGAAAUUCGUAGAUAUUCGGAAGAACACCAGUGGCGAAGGCGACUCGCUGGACAAGUAUUGACGCUGAGGUGCGAAAGCGUGGGGAGCAAACGGGAUUAGAUACCCUGGUAGUCAAGGGCG
Molecule: ribosomal RNA, 279 nt
Filed under: uncultured Sphingomonadales bacterium
Lineage: Bacteria; Pseudomonadati; Pseudomonadota; Alphaproteobacteria; Sphingomonadales
Description: partial 16S ribosomal RNA
Rfam family: Bacterial small subunit ribosomal RNA
Source: RNAcentral